AGCGGACGCUGGCGGCGUGCCUAACACAUGCAAGUCGAACGUGAAAGGGAGCAAUCCCAAGUAAAGUGGCGUACGGGUGAGUAACACGUAGGUAAUCUACCCCAGAAUCUGGAAUAACCGGCCGAAAGGCUGGCUAAUACUGGAUAGAGCGACGGAAUCCGUAAUUGGGUUUUUCGGGAAAGGGAGCCUGUAAAAAGGCCUUCGUUCUGGGAUGAGCCUGCGUCCCAUCAGCUAGUUGGUGAGGUAAAAGCUUACCAAGGCAAUGACGGGUAGCUGGUAUGAGAGGACGAUCAGCCACACUGGAACUGAAACACGGUCCAGACGACGACGGGAGGAAGCAGUGGGGAAUCUUGCGCAAUGGACGAAAGUCUGACGCAGCAACGCCGCGUGAGGGAAGAAGGCCUUCGGGUUGUAAAGCUCUGUCGAGUGGGACGAAAAUGCUUGGAGUUCACAGCUCCAGGAACUGACGGUACCACUAAAGGAAGCACCGGCUAACUCCGUG
This 502-nucleotide ribosomal RNA is filed under the name uncultured bacterium. Its description in RNAcentral is "partial 16S ribosomal RNA". It matches the Rfam family "Bacterial small subunit ribosomal RNA", at positions 29 to 507 of the family's 1533-position model. The record is from RNAcentral.